This 149-nucleotide unclassified non-coding RNA is filed under the name Massariosphaeria roumeguerei. Its description in RNAcentral is "partial internal transcribed spacer 2". Lineage: Eukaryota; Fungi; Ascomycota; Dothideomycetes; Pleosporales. The record is from RNAcentral.
AACCCCUCAAGCCUCGCUUGGUGUUGGGCGUCUGUCUUGCCGUUGUGCAUCGACUCGCCUUGAAACGAUUGGCAGCCGGUAUACAGGCUUCGAGCGCAGCAGAUUUGCGUCUUGGGCCUGUGCACUGGUGUUCCAGCAAGCCUCAUCUA